UGCAAGACGAACGGCAAGGUUGAUAGCAAUAUUGAUCCUAGAGUGUCGUAAGGGUGCGUAACACGUAUGCAAUCUACCCGAAACAGGAGGAUAGCUCCCCGAAAGGGGAAUUAACACUCCAUAAGAUCACAGGAUGGCAUCAUCUAGUGAUUAAAACUGAGGUGGUUUCGGAUGAGCAUGCGUUUGAUUAGUUAGUUGGCGGGGUAACGGCCCACCAAGACGAUGAUCAAUAGGGGAACUGAGAGGUUGAUCCCCCACACUGGCACUGAGAUACGGGCCAGACUCCUACGGGAGGCAGCAGUUGGGAAUCUUGGACAAUGGGGGAAACCCUGAUCCAGCCAUGCCGCGUGAGUGAUGAAGGCCUUCGGGUUGUAAAGCUCUUUUACCCGGGAAGAUAAUGACUGUACCGGGAGAAUAAGCUCCGGCUAACCUCGUGCCAGCAGCCGCGGUAAUACGAAGGGGGCUAGCGUUGUUCGGAAUUACUGGGCGUAAAGCGCGCGCAGGUGGUUUCUCAAGUCAGUGGUGAAAGCCCGGAGCUCAACUCCGGAACUGCCAUUGAAACUGUGGAACUUGAGGACGAGAGAGGUGAG
This 590-nucleotide ribosomal RNA is filed under the name uncultured soil bacterium. Its description in RNAcentral is "bacterial SSU rRNA". It matches the Rfam family "Bacterial small subunit ribosomal RNA", at positions 56 to 661 of the family's 1533-position model. The record is from RNAcentral.